GUCUAUAGGGCCCUAUAGGGUUUGGAGGGCCCUAUAGGGUUGGGGGGGGAAUGGAGGGUCUUGUAGGGUCUAUAGGGCCCUAUAGGGUUGGGGGGGGGAAAGGGGGCUGUGUAGGGUCUAUAGGGCCCUAUAGGGUUGGGGGGGGAAAGGGGGCUGUGUAGGGUCUAUAGGGCCCUAUAGGGUGGGGGGGUACGGGGGGGGCCUUGUAGUUGUCUAAUUGGGUCCUAUAUGGUUUGGAGGGCUCUAUAGGGUUGGGGGGGAAUGGGGGUUAUUGGGGCGGGGUUGUGUAAGGUCUAUUGGGUCCUAUAGGGUUUGGAGGGCCCUAUAGGGUCGGGUAGGGGGGUUGUGUAGUGUCUAUUGGGCCCCAUAGGGUCUAUAGGGCCCUAUAGGGUGAGGGAGGGGGGUUCUGUAGGGUCUAUAGAGCCCUAUGGGAAUUGGAAGGCCCUAUAGGGUUAGAAGGAGGGAGGGCUAUGUUGGGUGGUGGUCCCUAUAGGGUGUGAGGAGGGGGGGUUAUAGAUAUAGGGUGCCCUAUAGGGCCUGGGUAAGUCUCUGGGAUCUGUAGGGCCCUGUGGGGUUUUGGGGUGGAGCUGUAGGAUCAGGGGAGCGUCUAUAGGGUGUGGGGGGAGCCCUAUAGGAUCCGACCCCCCCACCCCACCCCACCCCACCCCAUUGUUUGGGGCCAUUUGGGAACACGGAAGGGAUGGGGACGGCCCCGAGUCCCACCCAGGCUUAACCCCAUGACUCAGCCCCACGCCUGGAGCCUCCCAGUGGGAUACUGGGGUGUAAUGGGGGGGGGGGGGAAGGGGUCACCCCAUAUCACGGGUGGGAAACCACAUUAGUGGGGUAUGGCCCUAUAUCAUGAGUGGGAGACCCCCAUUAUGGGCAGGAACCCCAUUGGAAUGAGUGGGAGACCCCAUUGGGGGCACAAACCCCAUUGGAAUGAAUGGGAGACCCCCUAUGGGGGCACAAACCCCAUUGGAAUGAGUGGGAGACCCCCAUUGGGGGCACAAACCCUAUUGGGAUUAGUGGGAGACCUCCUUAGUGGGGUAUGGCCCUAUAUCAUGAAUGGGAGACCCCACUGGGGGCAGGAACCCCAUUGGGGUGGGUGGGAGACCCUCUAUGGGGGCAGGAACCCCAUUGGGAUGAAUGGGAGACCCCCAUAGGGGGCAGGAACCCCAUUGAGGUGGAUGGGAGACCCCCAUAGGGGGCACAAACCCCAUUGGAAUGAAUGGGAGACCCCAUUGGGGGCACAAACCCCAUUGGGAUGAAUGGGAGACCCCCAUAGGGGUCACAAACCCCAUUGGGAUGAAUGGGAGACCCCCCAUAUGGGCUUGGGACCCCUUUGGUGGGCAAUGACCCCAAAUGACAACUAGGAGACCCCCUUUGAGUGCCCCCCCCCCUCCCCCUAAAUCCCAUUAUGGGGCACAAAAACCCCACCCUGGCCCCACAGCGUUGCCCCAUAGCGGGUGGGUGUCACCCCCCCCUGCCCCACACCCACCCCACCCCACAGCGAAUCCUUCCGUCUCGCCCCACAACGUCACAGCACACGACAAAGGACGAGCCCUAAAGGCUGCAGGUCAGUUGGAGGCUCCUUAAUACCCCCAUGGGGCAGAUUGGGGUCCUUUAAUUACCCCCAGGGGUAGAUUGGGGUCCUUUAAUUACCCCAUGGGACAGAUUGGGGUCCUUUAAUUACCCCCAGGGGUGGAUUGGGGUCUUAAUUACCCCCAGGGGCAGAUUGAGGUCUCUUAAUUACCCCCAGGGGCAGAUUUGGGUCUCUUAACUACCCCCAGGGGCAGAUUGGGGUCCCUUAAUACCCCCAUGGGGCAGAUUGGGGUCCUUUAAUUACCCCCAGGGGUAGAUUUGNGCAGAUUGGGGUCCUUUAAUUACCCCCAGGGGCAGAUUUGAGUCUCUUAAUUACCCCCAGGGGUAGAUUGGGGUCUCUUAAUUACCCCCAGGGGCAGAUUGGGGUCUCUUAAUUACCCCCAGGGGCAGAUUGGGGUCUCUUAAUUACCCCCAGGGGUAGAUUUGGGUCUCAUUUACCCCCAGGGGUGGAUUGGGGUCUCUUAAUUACCCCCCAUACAUGAUGCCCCCUCCCAUAUAUAGGAUGACCCCCCCAUAUAUAAGAUGCCCCCCCCCAUAUAUAAGAUAACCCCCCCAUAUA
Molecule: long non-coding RNA, 2161 nt
Filed under: Coturnix japonica (Japanese quail)
Lineage: Eukaryota; Metazoa; Chordata; Aves; Galliformes; Phasianidae
Description: lncRNA (ENSCJPG00005006456.1)
Source: RNAcentral